RNAcentral lists this ribosomal RNA (581 nucleotides) under uncultured bacterium OS9E. Its description in RNAcentral is "bacterial SSU rRNA". It matches the Rfam family "Bacterial small subunit ribosomal RNA", at positions 1 to 575 of the family's 1533-position model. The record is from RNAcentral.
UGGAGAGUUUGAUCCUGGCUCAGAUUGAACGCUGGCGGCAUGCCUUACACAUGCAAGUCGAGCGGCAGCAUGAUCUAGCUUGCUAGAUUGAUGGCGAGUGGCGAACGGGUGAGUAAUACAUCGGAACGUGCCCUGUAGUGGGGGAUAACUAGUCGAAAGAUUAGCUAAUACCGCAUACGACCUGAGGGUGAAAGUGGGGGACCGCAAGGCCUCAUGCUAUAGGAGCGGCCGAUUCUGAUUAGCUAGUUGGUGAGGUAAAGGCUCACCAAGGCGACGAUCAGUAGCUGGUCUGAGAGGACRAUCAGCCAACACUGGGACUGAGACACGGCCCAGACUCCUACGGGAGGCAGCAGUGGGGAAUUUUGGACAAUGGGGGCAACCCUGAUCCAGCAAUGCCGCGUGUGUGAAGAAGGCCUUCGGGUUGUAAAGCACUUUUGUCCGGAAAGAAAUCGCACUUACUAAUAUUAGGUGUGGAUGACGGUACCGGAAGAAUAAGGACCGGCUAACUACGUGCCAGCAGCCGCGGUAAUACGUAGGGUCCAAGCGUUAAUCGGAAUUACUGGGCGUAAAGCGCACGCAGG